UACGUAGGGGGCAAGCGUUGUCCGGAUUUAUUGGGCGUAAAGAGCGUGUAGGCGGUUUGGUAGGUCCGCUGUGAAAACUCGAGGCUCAACCUCGAGACGCCGGUGGAAACCAUCAGACUAGAGUCCGGAAGAGGAGAGUGGAAUUCCUGGUGUAGCGGUGAAAUGCGCAGAUAUCAGGAGGAACACCAAUGGCGAAGGCAGAUCUCUGGGCCGUAACUGACGCUGAGGAGCGAAAGCAUGGGGAGCGAACAGG
Molecule: ribosomal RNA, 253 nt
Filed under: uncultured bacterium
Lineage: Bacteria
Description: partial 16S ribosomal RNA
Rfam family: Bacterial small subunit ribosomal RNA
Source: RNAcentral